Molecule: long non-coding RNA, 512 nt
Filed under: Ficedula albicollis (Collared flycatcher)
Lineage: Eukaryota; Metazoa; Chordata; Aves; Passeriformes; Muscicapidae
Description: lncRNA (ENSFALG00000028468.1)
Source: RNAcentral
CAGGUUCAGAAUUUUGUGGGAAGGAGACCCAGCAUGGCUGUGCAGGGAACAAAGGUCAGACAGAUGGGAAGUGAAUGCUGCAGAACCAUGGUGUUUAGGCCUUGUUGUAGCCGUCUCCUGCUGCUGACUUAAUUAAGACCUGCCAGUCUGAGACCAGCUCUUCCCAGCGGUCUGCCGCAGUCUGUCACAGCCUGCUUUCAGCGUGACAGGUAAGGGCAUGGUGGCACUCAGCCGUCUCCUGCUGCUGACUUAAUUAAGGCCUGCCAGUCUGAGACCAGCUCUUCCCAGCAGUCUGCCGCAGUCUGUCACAGCCUGCUUUCAGUAGCCGUCUCCUGCUGCUGACUUAAUUAAGACCUGCCAGUCUGAGACCAGCUCUUCCCAGCGGUCUGCCGCAGUCUGUCACAGCCUGCUUUCAGCGUGACAGGUAAGGGCAUGGUGGCACUCUGUUCUGUUUGCCUUGUGCACUUGUGCACAGAAAGGAGGAUGUCAGCUGUCCCUACACCAAACUGCAC